GUCUGGCUGGCUCAGUUUGUAGAGCAUUUGACUCUUGAUCUCAGGGUUGUGGGUUCGAACCCCAUGUUGGGUA
Molecule: transfer RNA, 73 nt
Filed under: Ailuropoda melanoleuca (giant panda)
Lineage: Eukaryota; Metazoa; Chordata; Mammalia; Carnivora; Ursidae
Rfam family: tRNA
About the family: Transfer RNA (tRNA) molecules are approximately 80 nucleotides in length. Their secondary structure includes four short double-helical elements and three loops (D, anti-codon, and T loops).
Source: Rfam by way of RNAcentral